AAAAAUGCAUGUGCUCGCAUUAUUAAAGGUGGAUCGGCAUUAUAUGGAGGCUGCAAAAUUAAAACAGCUCCUUGGAGGUCGGAGAAACAUUCUGCUUCUAAAGAUGACAUCUUGUCAAAAGGCAAUCUGGAUUGGAAUGCUGCACCUUCCAAGCUGUAACAUAAUAUACAGGCUCUCAUCAGAGUAACCAGCAAUUUCUUGUGGUAUAAUAGAACUUUCAUCAAUUGUACCACAUGGACG
This is a long non-coding RNA of Papilio xuthus (Asian swallowtail), 240 nucleotides long. RefSeq lists it as uncharacterized. The transcript has 3 exons. Lineage: Eukaryota; Metazoa; Arthropoda; Insecta; Lepidoptera; Papilionidae. The record is from RefSeq and is a predicted model, not a curated record.